AUGUCGACUACAGGGAUAAUCAAAGUCUCCGCUGCGUGCCCUGUCUUCGAUGGCACUGAUUACCCCUACUGGAAGAAUAAGAUGUGCAUGCAUCUUGAAGCCAUUGAUGUCGAUCUAUGGUAUGUCGUCAAGAACGGCGUUCCCAAGACUGGUGAAGGUGUCACCCCUGCUGAUGUCAAGAAGUUCGUUCAACUGGAUUCUACUGCCAAGAACAUCAUCUGUGGUCAUCUGACCAAAGGACAGUAUGGUCGUGUGAGCGCUCUGGAAACUUCGAAGCUAGUCUGGGACUGGCUCUCCAAGGUCAACGAAGGUGUCUCAACCCAGAGAGAUCAAAGGAUCAGUGUUCUUCACAACCUCUUCAACCGCUUCAAGAGAAACGACAAUGAGAAUGUCCAGCUCACGUUUGAUCGCCUCACUGACAUCACAAAUGAGCUUCAUGCUCUCGGC
This 447-nucleotide ribosomal RNA is filed under the name Triticum aestivum (bread wheat). Its description in RNAcentral is "partial small subunit ribosomal RNA". The record is from RNAcentral. Lineage: Eukaryota; Viridiplantae; Streptophyta; Magnoliopsida; Poales; Poaceae.